This 178-nucleotide non-coding RNA is filed under the name Xanthomonas massiliensis. RNAcentral's name for it is "6S / SsrS RNA". It matches the Rfam family "6S / SsrS RNA". Rfam says of the family: E. coli 6S RNA was the first non coding RNA to be sequenced, but its function was unknown until recently. The record is from RNAcentral. Lineage: Bacteria; Pseudomonadati; Pseudomonadota; Gammaproteobacteria; Lysobacterales; Lysobacteraceae.
UCUCUGCCGUGAGCGACAGCGGGCAAAACAUUCGCCUUGUCCCUUAACAACGACACGGGGUGCGUGACGAAACCGGGUGUGCAUGUCUGCCUUGCAGCGGAAAGCCCGAUGGUUUCCCAGCGCUCCCACUUGAACCCCGGGUUCAAGGUCGUUUCGCCCGCAUCGUCAUGGCGGAGAA